AUGGCCAAAGUAUUGCGAAGCAACCUCGAGGAGGCGUUGCUGAUGUUGCAGGUCGCCGGCGUCGGAGCUGCAUUGGAGCACUCUCUCGGUCAUUGGAGCUCCGCCGCGCCUACAAUGAAGCGACGCCGGAGCUGCAAUGAAGCGUGCCGGAGUUGCAGUGAAGCACCGGGGGAGGGUCGUGGAAACUUCGCCGGGGCUGCAAUGGAGCUCGGCCGGAGUUGCAAUGGAGCUUCACCGGAGCGUCGGUGCUAG
RNAcentral lists this ribosomal RNA (252 nucleotides) under Triticum aestivum (bread wheat). RNAcentral's name for it is "partial small subunit ribosomal RNA". The record is from RNAcentral. Lineage: Eukaryota; Viridiplantae; Streptophyta; Magnoliopsida; Poales; Poaceae.